AGUGAACGCUGGCGGUAGGCCUAACACAUGCAAGUCGAACGGCAGCACAGUAAUAGCUUGCUCUUACGGGUGGCGAGUGGCGGACGGGUGAGGAAUACAUCGGAAUCUACUUUUUCGUGGGGGAUAACGUAGGGAAACUUAAGCUAAUACCGCAUACGACCUACGGGUGAAAGCAUGGGAUCUUCUGACCUUGCGCGAUUGAAUGAGCCGAUGUUGGAUUAGCUAGUUGGCGGGGUAAAUGCCCACCAAGGCGACGAUCGGUAGCUGGUCUGAGAGGAUGAUAAGCCACACGGGAGCGUGGACACGGUCCUGACUCCUACGGGAGGGAGCAGUGUGGUAUAUUAGACAAUAGGCGCAAACCUGAUCCAGCCAUACCGCGUGGGUGGAGAAGGCCUUCGGUGUGUAAAGCCCUUUUGUUGGGAAAGAAAAGCAGCAGGUUAAUACCCCGCUGGACUGACGGUACCCAAUGAAUAAGCACCGGCUAACUUCGUG
This 492-nucleotide ribosomal RNA is filed under the name uncultured bacterium. Its description in RNAcentral is "partial 16S ribosomal RNA". It matches the Rfam family "Bacterial small subunit ribosomal RNA", at positions 29 to 507 of the family's 1533-position model. The record is from RNAcentral.